Macrobrachium nipponense is the source of this 381-nucleotide long non-coding RNA. RefSeq lists it as uncharacterized. The record is from RefSeq and is a predicted model, not a curated record. Lineage: Eukaryota; Metazoa; Arthropoda; Malacostraca; Decapoda; Palaemonidae. The transcript has 3 exons.
GACAAAGUGAUGAUGGUUCGAUAAUCUUGCAGAACGAUAAUGUUGUUAGUGAAUUUCUCCGAUUUAAAAGUGCAGUUUGCAACAAGAAGUAGAGGGAUACUCUUUGAAUGCAUAGUGAAACGAAGACAAUCUGUAUUGCGAAUUAAUACCUAUGGCUUCUCAGAGAUGAAAAUGUACCGAGAGUGACCAAGACACCAUGAAUGGCGUCAGAUCCAAUUCUAUUGCGCAGGCGCAAAGGCUGCCGGCCUCGUGACCUGGCACAAGAGCUGGUGUGUACAAUAUCAUUGUGUACUUGAGUAGUGUCCACCCAAGAAAUGUAUCUUCAGUUACAGUCAGCCUUCCCAAAGGAGUGACUGGAAUCAUCACCACUGGCAGUUUAAG